Oncorhynchus tshawytscha (Chinook salmon) is the source of this 733-nucleotide long non-coding RNA. Lineage: Eukaryota; Metazoa; Chordata; Actinopteri; Salmoniformes; Salmonidae. The record is from Ensembl.
AGGAACAGGUUAAUGUUAGUGGAUUACUCAGGAACAGGUUAAUGUUAGUGGAUUACUCAGGAACAGGUUAAUGUUAGUCUAUUACUCAGGAACAGGUUAAUGUUAGUCUAUUACUCAGGAACAGGUUAAUGUUAGUGGAUUACUCAGGAACAGGUUAAUGUUAGUGUAUUACUCAGGAACAGGUUAAUGUUAGUCUAUUACUCAGGAACAGGUUAAUGUUAGUGGAUUACUCAGGAACAGGUUAAUGUUAAAGUGGAUUACUCAGGAACAGGUUAAUGUUAGUAUUUCUCAGGAACAGGUUAAUGUUAGUAUUUCUCAGGAACAGGUUAAUGUUAGUAUUACUCAGGAACAGGUUAAUGUUAGUGGAUUACUCAGGAACAGGUUAAUGUUAGUGGAUUACUCAGGAACAGGUUAAUGUUAGUGGAUUACUCAGGAACAGGUUAAUGUUAAAGUGGAUUACUCAGGAACAGGUUAAUGUUAGUGGAUUACUCAGGAACAGGUUAAUGUUAGUGGAUUACUCAGGAACAGGUUAAUGUUAGUGGAUUACUCAGGAACAGGUUAAUGUUAGUGGAUUACUCAGGAACAGGUUAAUGUUAGUGGAUUACUCAGGAACAGGUUAAUGUUAAAGUGGAUUACUCAGGAACAGGUUAAUGUUAGUGGAUUACUCAGGAACAGGUUAAUGUUAGUGGAUUACUCAGGAACAGGUUAAUGUUAAAGUGGAUUACUCAGGAAC